Molecule: ribosomal RNA, 790 nt
Filed under: Lophiostoma corticola
Lineage: Eukaryota; Fungi; Ascomycota; Dothideomycetes; Pleosporales; Lophiostomataceae
Description: partial 28S ribosomal RNA
Rfam family: Eukaryotic large subunit ribosomal RNA
Source: RNAcentral
AUUGCCCUAGUAACGGCGAGUGAAGCGGCAACAGCUCAAAUUUGAAAUCUGGCCUCUUUGGGGGUCCGAGUUGUAAUUUGCAGAGGGUGCUUUGGCGUUGGCUGUGGUCUAAGUUCCUUGGAACAGGACGUCGCAGAGGGUGAGAAUCCCGUAUGUGGCCGCCAGUCUUCGCCGUGUAAAGCCCCUUCGACGAGUCGAGUUGUUUGGGAAUGCAGCUCUAAAUGGGAGGUAAAUUUCUUCUAAAGCUAAAUAUUGGCCAGAGACCGAUAGCGCACAAGUAGAGUGAUCGAAAGAUGAAAAGCACUUUGGAAAGAGAGUCAAAAAGCACGUGAAAUUGUUGAAAGGGAAGCGCUUGCAGCCAGACUUGCUUGCAGUUGUUCAGCCGGGCUCUUGCCCGGUCUACUCUUCUGCUCGCAGGCCAGCAUCAGUCCGGGCGGUUGGAUAAAGGCCUAUUAAACGUACCUCCCCUCGGGGAGGACUUAUAGGGUAGGCGACAUGCAACCAGCCCGGAUUGAGGUCCGCGCAUCUGCUAGGAUGCUGGCGUAAUGGCUGUAAGCGGCCCGUCUUGAAACACGGACCAAGGAGUCUAACAUCUAUGCGAGUGUUUGGGUGUCAAGCCCGAGCGCGUAAUGAAAGUGAACGGAGGUGGGAACCUUUCGGGGUGCACCAUCGACCGAUCCUGAUGUCUUCGGAUGGAUUUGAGNUAGAGCAUAGCUGUUGGGACCCGAAAGAUGGUGAACUAUGCCUGAAUAGGGUGAAGCCAGAGGAAACUCUGGUGGAGGCUCGCAGC